ACAGCCUCUCCCCCGUCCGCAGCGCAGCCACUUGGCCCCACCAAAGCUUCCUGCAAAGGCUCCGAGGGCCGCGGGGCGCGCGUGGCCAGCGGCGGCGUCGCCUCGUGAUGACAUCAUCGCUAUGACGCGGCUCAGUGACGUGAACGCGGGCGCUCUUCUUUGGGAGCGCGGCCGGCGCGCCCGUUUUGAAGCUGUCCUGAGCAGCGCGGGCCGGACCGCGCCCCCUGCUUGGUCCCCGCGCCCCGCGAGUCCGCGCAGUUCCCAAGGCGCGGGCCCUGCUCCCUGCGCCUCGCCCCCUCAGCGGGCCGUGCUCGCAUCACCGAGGUCGGUCCGCGCCGGACCGAAGCCCCCGGGGCGGGGCGGGGCGGGGCGCGGGCGUCCGGAGGCGCCCCGGGCUCAGCCCCCGCCAUGCCUCCCGGCAAGGUACUGCAGCCGGUCCUGAAGAUGAAGGUGGAUGAGCUGUUCCUGUACUGGCUCAGCGAGGCCAGCACGCAGCGGAUGCUGCAGGACUGCCUGCGCCGGAUCAAGGCGCCCGGGCGGGACCAGCCGACCGCGGGGGACGGGGAGCUGCCCGGGGCCUGGCCAGCAGCCACGCUCGCCGCCCCCAGGCCCAGCGGGCUCGAACCCCCGGGAACCCCCGGUCCGGGCCCUGCGCUGCCCCUGGGCGCCGCCUCCAGCCCCAGGAACGCGCCCCACGCUCGAGGCACCCGUAGAUCCGCAGGGACGAGAGUAGUUCAGACGCGGAAAGAAGAGCCUCUGCCCCCAGCCACGAGCCAAAGCAUUCCGACCUUCUACUUCCCCAGAGGACGCCCGCAGGACUCCGUCAAUGUGGAUGCCGUCAUCAGCAAGAUCGAGAGCACCUUCACCCAGUUCCCCCACGAGAGGGCCACCAUGGACGACAUGGGCCUGGUGGCCAAGGCCUGCGGCUGCCCCCUCUACUGGAAGGGGCCGCUCUUCUAUGGCGCCGGCGGGGAGCGCACGGGCUCCGUGUCCGUCCACAAGUUCGUCGCCAUGUGGAGAAAAAUCCUCCAGAACUGCCACGACGACGCGGCCAAGUUCCUCCAUCUGCUCAUGAGCCCCGGCUGCAACUACCUGGUGCAGGAGGACUUUGUCCCCUUCUUGCAGGACGUGGUGAACACGCACCCGGGGCUGUCGUUCCUGAAGGAGGCGUCCGAGUUCCACUCGCGCUACAUCACCACGGUCAUCCAGCGGAUCUUCUACGCCGUGAACCGGUCCUGGUCCGGCAGGAUCACCUGCGCCGAGCUGCGGAGGAGCUCCUUCCUGCAGAACGUGGCGCUGCUGGAGGAGGAGGCCGACAUCAACCAGCUGACCGAAUUCUUCUCCUACGAGCACUUCUACGUCAUCUACUGCAAGUUCUGGGAGCUGGACACGGACCACGACCUGCUCAUCGACGCGGACGACCUGGCGCGGCACAAUGACCACGCCAUUUCUACCAAGAUGAUCGACAGGAUCUUCUCGGGAGCAGUCACACGAGGCAGAAAAGUGCAGAAGGAAGGGAGGAUCAGCUACGCCGACUUUGUCUGGUUUUUGAUCUCUGAGGAAGACAAAAAAACACCAACCAGCAUCGAGUACUGGUUCCGCUGCAUGGACCUAGAUGGGGACGGCGCCCUGUCCAUGUUCGAGCUUGAGUACUUCUAUGAGGAGCAGUGCCGAAGGCUGGACAGCAUGGCCAUCGAGGCCCUGCCCUUCCAGGACUGCCUCUGCCAGAUGCUGGACCUGGUCAAACCGAGGACCGAAGGGAAGAUCACGCUGCGGGACCUGAAGCGCUGCAAGCUGGCCAACGUCUUCUUCGACACCUUCUUCAACAUCGAGAAGUACCUCGACCACGAGCAGAAAGAGCAGAUCUCCCCGCUCAGGGACGGUGACAGCAGCGGUCCCGAGCUCUCGGACUGGGAGAAGUACGCGGCCGAGGAGUACGACAUCCUGGUGGCUGAGGAGACUGCGGGAGAGCCCUGGGAGGACGGCCUCCCUGCGGCACCGCCUGUUUACCGCAGCUCGGUGGCGGGACCCGGGAGCCCCCCGCCCAUGGCCCCCUGCGUGGGGUUUUGUGAUCCUGGGCCCGAGGCUUCGCACAUCAGGCCAAGCAUGGGGAGGCCGAGUCAAGACGCAUUUCGCCAGCAACGUCUGUCCUUAGCCCACGGCUGCCACCUGCUGGGGAGGCUGCAGGGCCCGUGGCCAUUCCGGGGCCCACUUCGGCCUUCCAGCCUCGGAGGCCCCAAGAGGCAAUGGGCUGGUUGCUUUCUCACAGAGUGUGAGGGUUCUUCGGGUCUUCAGGAUACAGGCCCUUUAUUUGCGACGUGUUCGCCUUUUCCCAGUUUGUGACGUAUGUUUUCACCCUCUUCACGUCGUGUCUCAGAGAUGUUCUGAAUUUAGAGGAAGAGACGCUGACUGGUUAUUUUUACAGCUGUGUUUUUGGUGUCGUGUCUAAGAAUUCAUUCCUGAAUCCAAAGCCACAAAGAUUUUCCUCUGCGAUGUUUUGCAUUUUGGUCUGGGGUCUGCUUGAGUAACCUUCCUGUGAGGUGUGAAGCUCGGAUUCAGGUUCACCUUGUAGGUGGGUGUGUCCGACUGUCCCAGCACCAGCUUUGCAAGGCUGCAGCGUCGCCUCGGCAUCGUGAUUGUGCCGUGUGCGGGCUCCGUUCCUGAACCUUCCUCCGUUCCACGGCUGCACGCGUCCGUCCCUUCCCGCUGCAGAGCUGACCGCAGUGAGAAGCCUCCGACUUGGGUGCCGUGUGGAACUGUUGGGGCCAUUCUGGUGUUUGGCUGCCUGUGUGAAUCUUAGACUCAGCCCGUCCGUGCUCUGCCGUCCUGUGGGAACGUGUGUUGGACUGUGACGUCGUGGUGAGCGCUGGUCCCGUGACCACGUAGACUCUGGCCCUCACCAGCCUCCCGUGGUGGGCGCUGGAGCGAUGUGGUCACUUUUGCCUCUUGUGCUGGGCUUCUCGAUGCUCUUCUGUCCCGCGCUACGGCGGCUAUUCUGGUUUCUUUGCCUUUGUAUGAAAACACGUAAGAAUAAGCUCCUUCUGGCCGGGCGCGGUGGCUCACGCCUGUAAUCCCAGCACUUUGGGAGGCCGAGGGGGGUGGAUCACGAGGUCAGGAGCUCGAGACCAUCCUGGCUAACACGGUGAAACCCCGUCUCUACUAAAAAUACAAAAAAUUAGCCGGGCGUGGUGGCGGCGCCUGUAGUCCCAGCUACUCGGGAGGCUGAGGCAGGAGAAUGGCGUGAACCCGGGAGGCGGAGCUUACAGUGAGCCGAGAUUGCACCACUGCACUCCAGCCUGGGCGACAGAGCAAGACUCCGUCUCAAAAAAAAAAAAAAAAAAAGGCCCGGGAUGGUGGCUCAUGCCUGUGAUCCCAGCUACUCGGGAGGUGGAGGUUGCAGUGAGCCAAGAUCGUGCCACUGCACUCCAGCCUGGGCAACGAGGGAAACUCCAUCUCAAAAAAAAAAAAAAAACAGAAUCUGAACUUCUGACAUCAUCUCGCUGAGCGAAUGGAUCCCUGUGGGCCCAGCUGCCGUCUUCAUAGCCGCGGGAGGCCCAGUCCACAGGCGCCAUCCGUGUUUCUCGGCAGGAUUUUCGUAGCUUUCUGUGUAGACUUGAUGUGAAUGUUGUGGGACUUGUAUUCGAGUGUUUCUGAGGUUUUGCUGUGGUCAACGCUACUUUUAAGGUGCCCGUUUCCAGUUGUUCGUUGGUAGCAUAUAGAAUUUAUUGACCUUGUGUUUUGCAACUUUAUGAAACACACUUACUAGAUCUCAAAGCUCUCUGUCGGUUCUUUGGGGUUUUCUGCGUGGACAGCCCAUGCCUGUCAGUGGGUUUGUUUCUCGUCUUCCUUUUCACCCCUGUGUGUACAUUACUUUCUUUUCACCCCUGUGUACGUCACUUUGUUUCUCUUGCCCGAUGCACGGCCUGGAACCCGCAGGGUGAUGUGGACGUCAGGGCAGACCACGCCCAGCCUUGAGUGAGCCUUGAGUGAGGUUUGUGUGCCGCCCUCGUUCCCAGUCCUGGGGGACGUCUCCCCUCAUGCAGCGGUAAACACGCUCAUUGGCGAGGAUGUUCCGGCCUGUGCCUGGUCUGCGGAGGGUUUCCCACAGUGGGGGCUGCAUUUUCUCAGAUGCUGUUGCUCCGUGGUUCCUGUGUCUGCCCAUACAGCGAGUUACAGCGAGUCAUUUUCAGCCAGCCUUGUGUUCCCAGGAUAGAUCUGAGUUGUAUGUUAUCCUUACAUAUUAUUGGAUUGUCUUUGCACAGAUCAUCUGUAGUAUUUUAUUAUUUUUUUUGAGACAGGGUCUUGCUCUGUCACCCAGGCUAGAGGGCGGUGGUGUGAUCUCGGCUCACUGCAACCUCCGCCUCCCGGGUUCAAGCGAUGCUCCUGCCUCAGCCUCCCGAGUAGCUGGGAUGACAGGCAUGUGCCACCACGCCCGGCUAAUUUUUGUGUUUUUAGUAGAGACGGGUUUCGCCAUGUUGGCCAGGCUGGUCUCGAACUCCUGACCUCAGGUGAUCCACCCGCCUCGGCCUCUCACAGUGCUGGGGCCUGGGUGGUUAUUGUUUGCCUUUAUCAUGCUACGACAGAUGUACAGGAACCCACGUUUGGCGCGUGCUGCUUGGUGAGCUUUGACGUCCAUCCGUAUCCACAGAGCCGUUACCACCAUCACCCUAACACGUGUCUGUCUCCCCCUGCGUCCCCCCCAGAACUGCAGGCACGCGGCAUUUUCUUGAAUUUCGUGGACCUACUUGCAAUUGGCCAGGGAAGCCAUUUGUGAGAGGUUUUUCACUAAAAUCCCGUGACCUUAUCAGAAACUGGCUGAAGUCAUCUCUCUUCGUUCUUGAGUUUUGGAGACAGGGUCUGGCUCUGUCACGCAGGCUGGAGUGCAGUGGCGCGAUCUGAGCUCGCUGCAGCCUCCACCUGCUGGGCCUAAGGAAUCCUCGCACCUCAGCCCCCCGAGUAGCCGGGAUUACAGGCACCCGCCACCACACCCAGCUAAUUUUUUGUGGAGACGGGGUUUCGCCACGUUGCCCAGAAACUUGCCCAUUCACAUCAGUGAGUUAUUGCUGGUAUUUCCUGCUUGUGACAUUAACGUCUGCAGAGUCCGCAGUGAUGGCGUCUCUCACGCUCCUGAUACCGACGUGUCUGUGUGUGGUCAGUGAGGCGAGGGGACGGUGAGGUUCCCUGAACUUCUCAAGGAACCACAACCACCACUGGUUUUUCUCCCCUUUGUUCUGCUGUUUCCCUUCUCUCGAGUAUCUUCAGGCAGCAACUUGGGCCACUGACACUGCAGCCCGGCCUUCUCGUUUUGCUGCAGCUCAAAAUACUUUCUGGUUACCAUUUGGUUCCCGACCCACAGGUUCCACGGAUGUGCAUUUUAACCCCUGCUCCCCCAUCAGCCGCCCCGUCCGAUUCCUGCCAAGCAGCACGGGGCCCCCGCGGCCCACCCUGGGCCGUCUGUCCUGUGUGUCCGUCCUCCUCGUGGUCAUCGUUUGCACAGUGGCUGCGACCUGGCAGCCAACCUGUGGGUCCCCACUCCCCACAGCUUCCCAGUCCGCCUUCUCCUGCCGGACACCCUGAGGCAACCGUGGCCCCCAGACAUAGUCUACUUGGGUGUGCGCCUGUCCCCACGACCGUCUGUCACCUCUGCCCCCACCUGACCAGUGUCCACCCCCACGGCCGCCCGGCUUUGUGUCUGCAGCACAGCCAGCACCACACAGGGGUCGACUGCCUUCCCCGUGUCCACGCCUGCUCCGGCAGGUGCCGCUCAGGUCCGUGGGGAACUCAGUGCCAGGCUGUUGGGGGGCAUCUUGGAAAGCAGAGGUGUCCCCACAGGAUCUCUGAGAGUCUGUGUGGUCGGUGGCCGCGCUGGUUUCCCCGGAGCAGCGCCCGAGGUCACUGCCGAGACCGUAACGGAAGUGGCGCGUCCGGUCCUCCCACAGCUGUGUGUUCUGGUCAGAACGGAAGUGGGGGCCUGCACAAGGAGCGUCUGUGGUUUGGGAGAAUUUGUCUAAACUGUGGUCCCCAUUUGUUCUCCAGUCCUGUGUGGACACCACGACCCACUUGUGUAAACACCGGCCCCGUGCAGCUCGGAGGCUGCCCUCCGAGAGUCACCGUCGUGUAACUUUGGGGAAAAGGUGCACCUGCCUGGUUCCUCUGUGGGUACCUCGUGCCUGGGGCUCCAUCCCGUCCUGGGUGGGUUUUCAGCUGCACCACAGGCCCCUCCCCGGGAGCAUUGGUGGAGCCGACUUUCUCAGCCAGGAGCACGUUGCUGGGUCAGCGGCUGGAGCUCAGGGGACUUCCUUGUGCUGGAGGCUGGCCGCUGAGCAGCCUGCAUCUCCCAGAAAAUGGCCCAGGGCCUGCUCUUCGCUGCUGGCCACGUCUUCACUGUCCUCUUGUUGCAGGUUCGAGGCCGAGCUCAGCCCCGUGGAGCAGAAGCUGAGUGUGCUGCGGUCCCCACUGGCCCAGAGGACCUUCUUCCAGGCGCCCUCGCCCCUGGGCGCCAUGGGCCUGUACGAGUAUGCGUGCGGGGACGAGGACCUGGAGCCACUGUGACACCACCUGUGAGAACGCUGCCACGGAGCCACGCCACACAUGCCACGGCCACCACCAGGACUCCUGUAAAAACUGUUGUCUUCUGUGGAAAAUGAGUGCGUUUGUAUGGAAUGAUAAAUUUUUAUUUAUUCACAGAAGCGUCUUGAUUACUGCUGUGGGUUCGCAGCUGGACCUGCCUACAGCUCCGUGCCCGGGGGACACGUAGGGCCGCUCGUGAGCGGGACGGGUUCCCACACGGACACCCUCCGGCACUUGCCGUUGCCGAGUUGACUUGGCCUCAGUUCCGGGGCCAGCGUCUCUCGGGAAAGGGUCCGUGUGGGCGCAACGGUGACCGGCGGCUCCCGGGCGCCUUGUCCGUCCUGGACGGGACCCUCUGCCACAGCCUGUGUGAAUGUUUUGUAUAAAUGUACAAAAGCGC
This is an RNA transcript of Pongo pygmaeus (Bornean orangutan), 6970 nucleotides long. It is a transcript of the gene named serine/threonine-protein phosphatase 2A regulatory subunit B'' subunit beta, with no coding region annotated. The transcript has 14 exons. The record is from RefSeq and is a predicted model, not a curated record. NCBI's taxonomy places the organism in Eukaryota, Metazoa, Chordata, Mammalia, Primates, Hominidae.